RNA transcript from Cercocebus atys (sooty mangabey), 3034 nucleotides. It is a transcript of the gene named B-cell translocation gene 4, with no coding region annotated. The transcript has 5 exons. Lineage: Eukaryota; Metazoa; Chordata; Mammalia; Primates; Cercopithecidae. The record is from RefSeq and is a predicted model, not a curated record.
GAGGGGCGCGGGCCUGGCCGGCGCGCUCCUUCCGGGCUCAGACGCCCUCCCCUCGCCCCUCCGCCUCGCCGCUGCCAGGGGCGGGGUCGCCGCUCGGCCCGCUACGGUCCUCGGCCUUCCAGGCGAAGGGCAAGAGCGAGCCCUGGCGGACCGUGCGUAGGGGUGCAGAGACCUGGAUGCGGCCUGCGAUCUCCUUCCCCGCCCCGGCGUUCUCCGCCCACCCGGGGUCCUUCCCGCCAAAACCUCUCACCUACAAGUACAGCGCGCCCUAAAUUUGGCACCAGCAAAGAACUGUGGCUGAGCAAUGCGUUGCUCACAGGCUCCUUUCUUUGUGUUUUUUUCUCUUCUCGUUGCUAUAUAUAACAAAACCCUCCACGUUUUGAUGUCUCCGAGGAGUCAUUCUGACAGCAGUGCGGUCGCUGAUAGACUCACAGAAUGUCAAUGUCAGCGCUGAAGAGAUCUUGGAGAUCACUUAAUCCAGAGAUUUGGAGCCUCAUGCGAACUUCGGAGUCCGGAACCCCCUAAAACACAGGCCAGUUUUUGCUUAUGACGAAGCAGACCGCAAGGAAUAAAGGGAAUUGCCAAGGUCACACAGGCAAUGGUAGAGUGCAAGAUGGCUUUUGGGCCCUCCAGUGCUCACUGUGCUUCUGCUUUUCACUCUCCCCAAGCAAUACCUUACUCUACCAUGAGAUGUCCCAACGUUGGCCAGCCUUGCUGGUGUGUAACUGCUUCGUCAUUAGCAAGAGUGCAGGAGAGAAUGUGGAAGGCACGGCACAAUCUAACAGUGCUUUGGAAAAACAACUAAACAGAUGUUUCCACUAACAGUGGAUAAGAAGCACUUCCUUCCUACAGAUCUGUGCUCAGUUCUCUGCAUACAGAUCUGAGUUCUCAGUUCCACUAAGAUAACCAAACAACUGAUGAAGGGGAAGACUCAAGUUAAUAAAAAAGAAAGGAUAGAAGUAGAAUAUCACCAUUUUGCAGUCUUCAAAGAGGUAAUGACCUCUUUCAAAGAAGCAAUGAUCAUCAGUGACUAACAACAGCAGAAAAAGAAACAAUGGAUAUCAUGGACCUCCUGCUAGACACUACCACAGUGCAGUGGUCUUGUGGGGAGUGUUGGGAGCAGUUCACAAGACUGCUCUUACUUCUGGCAUCAACUGCAAGUUUGAGGAUUCUCAAAAACCACACAAUUUUGAUAAUUUGCUAGAAGGACUUGAAGUCACUAAAAGUUGUUAUCCUAAUGGUUAUGAUUUAUCACAACUAAAGGAUACAGAUUAAAGGUAGUCCAGGAAAAAAAUCAUGUAAGGCAAAGUCUAGAAAAGUUCCAUAUAUGGAUGUUCCAGUUAUCUUCUCCCUGUGGAGUUAUAUGCACCAUUACUUUCCCAUUAUCAGUGUAUGACCAUAUGCACAGAUUAUUGCCAAGCACCUGAGCCUUCCUGUCCAGAUAUUUAUUUGGUUGGCUGCCCACAUGACUUCUCCAUCUCCAGCCCCUCCAGAGCUGAUUGCUGAGUAUGUGUGACCCAAACCUCCCACUCUGUAUCACGUCAUUACACUAUCCAGUUUAAUCAAGGCCUGCACACAAACAAAACCACUCCUAUCAUGAAACUCCAAGGGUUUAGAAAUUACACCCCCAAAUAGAGGGCAAAGGCCAGACCCCUUUUUGGACAAGAUUAUAGUCUUUUCUACACAUCUUGCAAAACAAACAAACAAAAAAGAUUGAGCCUGAAUCUGAUUAAGCCUUUAGAUUCAACUAACAAUUUACAGGAAACACAGGGAUAAAGAACCUUUUAAGUGAUACCAUAGCAAAUUCAGGCCAAUUGACCUGGUAUCUUUAACAAAAAGUUGCAAGAGAAACCUAUAAAUUAAAGUAGAAUUAAAAUACAUAUUGCUCAGUUGCAAUGUAUUGUACCAUAUUUGGAUCCUGAUUUAAAUAAUGAAGUUGAAAGUACUCAGAAUUAGGGUAAUGUGAACUCUGGUUGAAUAUUUUAUGAUGUUAAGGCAUUAAUUUUUGCAUUAGAUAAUUGUUAUGAUCAUGUUUAAAGAUCACAAAAAGAAUCUUUAUCUUUUAGAGAUUCAUACUGAAAUAUUUACAGAUGAAAUGACUUAAUGUGUGGGAUUUGCUUCAAAAUAACCUGGGGAUGAGUUGGUAGUAGGUGGGGUUUUGGAUGGAAUGAGACUGGCCAUGUGCUGUAAGAAAACAAAAAAAAUUGGGUUGUAUGUUAGUUCACAUGUUCAUGCUUUCCAUUUUGAAACAUGUAACAUGUAUAUGUGAUAGAGCCUGUGGGACUCAGGAGGUCUUCACUGAGCCUUGCUUUUCUGCUAAGGUACUUGUGUACAAUAGACUGUUCUUAUUUGUUCACCUCUUCAUUUUCUCUGGGCCUUUGAGGGAGCAGAUGUUGAUUAUUUCAGUUGCAAGCUGGAACUAGUAUGCAUAGUGGUUGAGGCUAUACAGUUGUUGCGAAGAGAUAUAGAUGCAUACACAAGAUAAUGGAUAUGUUUUGUCUAUUGAUUUUUCUUAAUUUUUUUUUUUUUUUUAAUAGAAAUGAGGCCAAUGUUGCCCAGGCCAGUCUCGAACUCAUGGACUCAGGCCAUCCGCUUAUCUUGGCCUACCCAAAGUGCUGGGAUUACCGGUGUGAGCCACUGCACCUGGCCCCAUUUAUUUUUCAAGAGAAGCAUUAUAGUUUUACUAAGAUGGUAAACUUAAUGUAGAUAAACAUUACCUUGUAAUAUUCUGGUAAGAUCAAUAUAUUUUGAAGUUAAAAUUUAAAGCCUCAUGUUUGCCAUUUAAGGAUAUAUGUUUAUUUUUGUAUGUUUAAAUGUAUUUUGUAUGCCUAAAUAGUGGAAUAUUAAAUUUAUUGAGCAAAGGGAACUUUAAGUGAUAAGGAGGAGAAAGCCAAGUAUUUCAGAAGAACAUUGAGCUUUGAGGAUACGAUCUCAACUUGUUAAUACUAACAAGCCUAUUCGUCCAUUUUCACACUGCUAUAAAGAAAUGCCUAUGAGGCCGGGCAUGGUGGCUCACACCUGUAAUCCCGGCACU